This 1550-nucleotide ribosomal RNA is filed under the name uncultured bacterium. Its description in RNAcentral is "bacterial SSU rRNA". It matches the Rfam family "Bacterial small subunit ribosomal RNA". The record is from RNAcentral.
GGUCGACGAUUGAGAGUUUGAUCCUGGCUCAGGAAGUAAAAGUCGUAACAAGGUAGCCGUAAAUGAGAGUUUGAUCCUGGCUCAGGACGAACGCUGGCGGCGUGCUUAACACAUGCAAGUCGAACGAGGCAGCAAUGCCUAGUGGCGGACGGGUGAGUAACACGUAGGUAACCUGCCUUGUAGUGGGGGAUACCCAUCCGAAAGGAUGGCUAAUACCGCAUACCCUUUGUCGUUGUGAUACGGCUCAGGAAAGAUUUAUCGCUACGAGAGGGGCCUGCGUAUGAUUAGCUAGUUGGUGAGGUAACGGCUCACCAAGGCGACGAUCAUUAGCUGGUCUGAGAGGACGAUCAGCCACACUGGAACUGAGACACGGUCCAGACUCCUACGGGAGGCAGCAGUGGGGAAUUUUCCGCAAUGGGCGAAAGCCUGACGGAGCAACGCCGCGUGGGUGAUGAAGAUUUUCGGAUCGUAAAGCCCUUUCAGCAGGGACGAAUACAAUGACGGUACCUGCAGAAGAAGCAUCGGCUAACUACGUGCCAGCAGCCGCGGUAAUACGUAGGAUGCAAGCGUUGUCCGGAAUUAUUGGGCGUAAAGCGAACGUAGGCGGUUACUUAAGUUUGGUCUUAAAGACCGGGGCUCAACUCCGGGAAUGGUCUGAAUACUGGGUGACUAGAGGAUGUCAGAGGAAAGUGGAAUUCCAAGUGUAGCGGUGAAAUGCGUAGAUAUUUGGAGGGACACCAGUGGCGAAAGCGGCUUUCUGGGACAUUCCUGACGCUGAGGUUCGAAAGCUCGGGGAGCAAACAGGAUUAGAUACCCUGGUAGUCCGAGCCGUAAACGAUGGACACUAGGUGUCGGGGGUAUCGACCCCCCCGGUGCCGUAGCUAACGCGUUAAGUGUCCCGCCUGGGGAGUACGGUCGCAAGACUGAAACUCAAAGGAAUUGACGGGGGCCCGCACAAGCGGUGGAGCAUGUGGUUUAAUUCGAUGCAACGCGAAGAACCUUACCAAGGCUUGACAUGUAGGGAACCUGGUAGAAAUACCGGGGUGCCGCAAGGAACCCUAACACAGGUGGUGCAUGGCUGUCGUCAGCUCGUGUCGUGAGAUGUUGGGUUAAGUCCCGCAACGAGCGCAACCCUCGAUGUUAGUUGCCAACGGGUAAUGCCGGGCACUCUAGCGUGACUGCCGGUGACAAACCGGAGGAAGGUGGGGAUGACGUCAAGUCAUCAUGCCCCUUAUGCCUUGGGCUACACACGUGCUACAAUGGCCAGGACAGUAUGAUGCAAUACCGCGAGGUGGAGCUAAUCACAAAACCUGGUCUCAGUUCAGAUUGCAGGCUGCAACUCGCCUGCAUGAAGGCGGAAUCGCUAGUAACCGCAGGUCAGCAUACUGCGGUGAAUACGUUCCCGGGCCUUGUACACACCGCCCGUCACACCACGAAAGUUUGUCACGCCCGAAGCCGGUGAGCUAACCGCAAGGAGGCAGCCGUCUAAGGUGGGGCAGAUGAUUGGGGUGAAGUCGUAACAAGGUAGCCGUAAAUCUCUAGAGGAUCCC